This is a non-coding RNA of Pteropus alecto (black flying fox), 119 nucleotides long. The record is from Rfam. NCBI's taxonomy places the organism in Eukaryota, Metazoa, Chordata, Mammalia, Chiroptera, Pteropodidae.
GCCUACAGCCGUGCCACCCUGAACAAGCCCCAUCCCCUCUGAUCUCGGAAGCUAAGCGGGGUCAGGCCUGGUUAGUACUUGGAUGGGAGACUACCUAGGAAGACCAGGUGUUAUAGGUG